RNAcentral lists this ribosomal RNA (492 nucleotides) under uncultured bacterium. RNAcentral describes it as "partial 16S ribosomal RNA". It matches the Rfam family "Bacterial small subunit ribosomal RNA", at positions 30 to 507 of the family's 1533-position model. The record is from RNAcentral.
AUUGAACGCUGGCGGCAUGCUUUACACAUGCAAGUCGAACGGUAAUAGGCCUUCGGGUGCUGACGAGUGGCGAACGGGUGAGUAAUGCAUCGGAACGUACCCAGAGGUGGGGGAUAACGCAGCGAAAGCUGUGCUAAUACCGCAUGUGAUCUGAGGAUGAAAGCGGGGGACCGAGCAGCAAUGUUUGGCCUCGCGCCUUUGGAGCGGCCGAUGUCGGAUUAGCUAGUUGGUGGGGUAAAGGCCUACCAAGGCGACGAUCCGUAGCUGGUCUGAGAGGACGACCAGCCACACUGGGACUGAGACACGGCCCAGACUCCUACGGGAGGCAGCAGUGGGGAAUUUUGGACAAUGGGCGCAAGCCUGAUCCAGCAAUGCCGCGUGCGGGAAGAAGGCCUUCGGGUUGUAAACCGCUUUUGGCAGGAACGAAACGGUGUCCGCUAAUACCGGGCGCUAAUGACGGUACCUGCAGAAUAAGCACCGGCUAACUACGUG